GUAGGUGGCAAGCGUUGUCCGGAAUUAUUGGGCGUAAAGCGCGCGCAGGGCGGUUUUUAAGUCUGAUGUGAAAGCCCACGGGCUCAACCGUGGAGGGUCAUUGGAAACUGGAGAACUUGAGUACAGAAGAGGAAAGCGGAAUUCCACGUGUAGCGGUGAAAUGCGUAGAGAUGUGGAGGAACACCAGUGGCGAAGGCGGCUUUCUGGUCUGUAACUGACGCUGAGGCGCGAAAGCGUGGGGAGCAAACAGGAUUAGAUACCCUGGUAGUCCACGCCGUAAACGAUGAGUGCUAAGUGUUAGGGGGUUUCCGCCCCUUAGUGCUGCAGCUAACGCAUUAAGCACUCCGCCUGGGGAGUACGGCCGCAAGGCUG
RNAcentral lists this ribosomal RNA (372 nucleotides) under uncultured organism. Its description in RNAcentral is "partial 16S ribosomal RNA". It matches the Rfam family "Bacterial small subunit ribosomal RNA", at positions 527 to 896 of the family's 1533-position model. The record is from RNAcentral.